AACAUAUCAAGUUUCAUCCAUUCAUAUUUAUUCUAUAUUCAUCAAUCGCCUCACUCCUUCACUUAAUCGACUACACUACUGAAAACUUAAGCACUAUAACUGUCAUAUAUGACCAAGCUGUGUGAGGCCUCCCCACAUUGAGUGGGACGCGCCUCAGGGGGUGGCGGUGCCCCGGCGGGAACACAUGUGAGGCUCAGUAUGGUCCUCUUCACGUCGCUGAGCCUGGUGGUAAAAAUCAUAAUUAUGUUGUUGUUUCAUGUGUUGAGAGAGUAGGGCUUAGUUACUAGAGUUCGUGAGGAGCUACCCCCAUCUUCAAAACGUAGAGUGAGUGAAUCUGAGACGAGGAAAGCCAGAUGAAGACACCCAGCACAUCACAAACCGUGCGCGAGCCGGCCGUGUGGGCCCGCAAGCCAGCCUCCGUCAUUACGGAUGNGGGGCAAGUGGUCGAUGAAGUACAAGUUCACGCACCGCAGACAAAGAACUGGCUUUAUAUUGAGUAUUGUCGAUGACGCUGGACGAUGUGUACAGGGACGGGGCGAAUGCAGGAGAGCGAGAAAGAGAGAAGUAGAGUAGAACUAUGAUGAGAAAGACUAACAAGGAAGCAACGCCCCAAACUACAAUUGCUCGCCUCCUGGCGUGACUACUGCACACGACGCAUGACUAUUGCGGACCUUGGGUAUUGGCACACUUGGCGCGUUGCGCUAUCGAACGUGACCGGCACUAGGUGGGUGGGCCCGAUGAAAGUAGAACGGAGGCGAGAAAGUGGCAGCAAGGAGGCAGAGACCCACAACACAGAACAGGCAAGGCUGACCCGGAGUCACGUCAUGUGUGUUUACCCAAUACCACAAUGCGUCAUCGCCUUAAGGCUUUAACACUACCGACUCAAUGAAAAGAGGAGGGAAAACAGUGACGAAAAACUACAAAGGAGAUCUACAAGCCGCCCCCAGCGCCCUCUCUCCGACUAACUCGUGGGGAAACGUGGCAGGACGCGCUCGGGCACCCCAGACGGGGACCCCCUGCGCCUGUGUGGCAAGUUAGACAAAUUGUCAUUCAUAUCUUUCCAUAU
Molecule: ribosomal RNA, 1066 nt
Filed under: uncultured bacterium
Lineage: Bacteria
Description: partial 16S ribosomal RNA
Source: RNAcentral